CCUACGGGGAGCAGCAGUGAGGAAUAUUGGUCAAUGGGCGAGAGCCUGAACCAGCCAAGUCGCGUGAGGGAGUACUGCCCUAUGGGUUGUAAACCUCUUUUGUCGGGGAGCAAAAGCCGGACGUGUCCGGCUGUGAGAGUACCCGAAGAAAAAGCAUCGGCUAACUCCGUGCCAGCAGCCGCGGUAAUACGGAGGAUGCGAGCGUUAUCCGGAUUUAUUGGGUUUAAAGGGUGCGCAGGCGGAUUUUUAAGUCAGCGGUAAAAUCGUGGGGCUCAACCCCAUCCAGCCGUUGAAACUGGGGAUCUAGAGUGUGCGAGAGGUAUGCGGAAUGCGUGGUGUAGCGGUGAAAUGCAUAGAUAUCACGCAGAACCCCGAUUGCGAAGGCAGCAUACCGGUGCACAACUGACGCUCAGGCACGAAAGCGUGGGUAUCGAACAGGAUUAGAUACCCGUGUAGUC
RNAcentral lists this ribosomal RNA (458 nucleotides) under uncultured bacterium. Its description in RNAcentral is "partial 16S ribosomal RNA". It matches the Rfam family "Bacterial small subunit ribosomal RNA", at positions 338 to 795 of the family's 1533-position model. The record is from RNAcentral.